This 409-nucleotide ribosomal RNA is filed under the name Verrucomicrobiota bacterium. Its description in RNAcentral is "Verrucomicrobia bacterium partial 16S ribosomal RNA". It matches the Rfam family "Bacterial small subunit ribosomal RNA", at positions 355 to 776 of the family's 1533-position model. Lineage: Bacteria; Pseudomonadati; Verrucomicrobiota. The record is from RNAcentral.
UGGGGAAUAUUGCACAAUGGGCGGAAGCCUGAUGCAGCGACGCCGCGUGAGGGAUGACGGCCUUCGGGUUGUAAACCUCUUUCAGUAGGGACGAAGCGUAAGUGACGGUACCUGCAGAAGAAGCACCGGCUAACUACGUGCCAGCAGCCGCGGUAAUACGUAUGGAGCAAGCGUUAUCCGGAUUCAUUGGGCGUAAAGCGCUCGUAGGCGGUCUGUUAGGUCGGCAAGUUAAAUCCGGGGGCUCAACCCCCGUCCGCUUCCGAUACCGGCAGACUUGAGUUUGGUAGGGGAAGGUGGAAUUCCUAGUGUAGCGGUGGAAUGCGCAGAUAUUAGGAAGAACACCGGUGGCGAAGGCGGCCUUCUGGGCCAUAACUGACGCUGAGGAGCGAAAGCUAGGGGAGCGAACAGG